RNA transcript from Mus musculus (house mouse), 442 nucleotides. It is a transcript of the gene named predicted gene 16490, with no coding region annotated. The transcript has a single exon. The record is from RefSeq and is marked validated. Lineage: Eukaryota; Metazoa; Chordata; Mammalia; Rodentia; Muridae.
AGUGAAGCUGCAGUGGUCCACACGACUCCCUGAGUUUCGCCAUGCCGCCCAAAGACGACAAGAAGAAGAAAAAUGUCAGAAAGUCGGCCAAAAAGGACAAAGACCCAGUAAAUAAAUCUGGCGCCAAGGCUAAGAAGUGGUCCAAAAGCAAAGUUCGGGACAAGUUGGACAAUCUUGUCCUGUUUGACAAUCUCUGUAAGGAAGUUUCCAACUAUAAGCUUAUUACUCCAUCCAUGGUCUCCGAGAGACUGAAGAUUCCCGGGUCCUUGGCCAGGGCAGCCCUCCAGAAGCUCCUUAGUAAAGGACUUAUCAAGCUGGUUUCAAAGCACAGAGCUCAAAUGAUUUAUACCAGAAACACAAAGGGUGGAGACGCCCCAGCUGCUGGUGAAGAACAGGUUCAAUCAGCUGUGCAUUUGAGAAAAUAAAACUUUAUUGAAUCAAA